Molecule: non-coding RNA, 327 nt
Organism: Paramuricea clavata
Lineage: Eukaryota; Metazoa; Cnidaria; Anthozoa; Malacalcyonacea; Plexauridae
Source: the annotation of a GenBank genome assembly
AUUUAUUAGGGGAGAAGGGGGAGGGGGUUUAAUUCUAAUAUAUACAACUGUUUUGCACGUUUGAUUCUCUUUAAAUAUGCAACAUCGGGUAUUGUGAUUAUCAGUAAAAUAUCAUAAUUAUCUUUCAAAUACAAUACUUUCAUGUUUCACGAUUUUAUACAUUAAUUAAUUGGUUGCAGGAGAAAGGGGUGGGGAGUAGGGAUGGGGGGUGCUAAACAGAGAAAUUACGAUAUACCAUAUAUAUGACUGAGUAUUACAACGUGCUCACAAUCUUAUUUAUUUUCUAAAUCUUUCCCUGUCAAUGUUAUUAGUCCAGGUUCGUUGUUU